RNAcentral lists this ribosomal RNA (492 nucleotides) under uncultured bacterium. Its description in RNAcentral is "partial 16S ribosomal RNA". It matches the Rfam family "Bacterial small subunit ribosomal RNA", at positions 29 to 507 of the family's 1533-position model. The record is from RNAcentral.
AGUGAACGCUGGCGGUAGGCCUAACACAUGCAAGUCGAACGGCAGCACAGUAAGAGCUUGCCCUUACGGGUGGCGAGUGGCGGACGGGUGAGGAAUACAUAGGAAUCUACUUUUUCGUGGGGGAUAACGGAGGGAAACUUACGCUAAUACCGCAUACGACCUACGGGUGAAAGCAGGAGAUCUUCGGACCUUGCGCGAUUGAAUGAGCCGAUUUCGGAUUAGCUAGUUGGCGGGGUAAAGGCACACCAAGGCGACGAUCCGUAGCUGGUCUGAGGGGAUGAUCAGCCACACUGGAACUGAGACACGGUCCAGACUCCUACGGGAGGCAGCAGUGGGGAAUAUUGGACAAUGGGCGAAAGCCUGAUGCAGCAAUACCGCGUGGGUGAAGAAGGCCCUCGGGUCGUAAAGCCCUUUUGUUGGGAAAGAAAAGCAGCAGGUUAAUACCCCGCUGUUCUGACGGUACCCAAAGAAUAAGCACCGGCUAACUUCGUG